This 230-nucleotide long non-coding RNA is filed under the name Gallus gallus (chicken). Lineage: Eukaryota; Metazoa; Chordata; Aves; Galliformes; Phasianidae. The record is from RNAcentral.
GGCACAAAUAUGCAGAAUUUCUUAUCUGAUCAAACAGCAGCUCAAGGGAAACAACACGCAGGGGGAUCUAACAGCCAAAAACACAUCUUCCCAGCGUUUUGUUUCCUUCUCACGGGCGCGGCCUCCCCCCGCCGGGCCGCGGCCCCACCGCUCCUCGCAGCCCCCGGGCGCCGCCCCGCGGGACCCUGGAGCGGGCGGACCGCCUCCUCCCGGGCGCUGGCGGAAGCGGC